UUUUUGCAACUAUCACCUAUAAAUAUAUAUUUAUUGUCCACUUAUUGCACACAUAUCACUUUUCUCUGAAAUUUAGUUCUCUCUCUCUCUCUCUCUCUCUCUCUCCAUCUAGCUAACUACCAUCUUCUCACGAAGAAGAAGAUCAAGAACAACCUACAUAAUCCACAGCUUUGCCCUCAAAACCCAGUUCUUCCUCUUCCUCUCUGUUUUCUUCUCUACCCAAAUGCAAACCCCAAUUUCGUCUCCCUUCAAAUCCAUUCGGGAACCUAAACAAACCCAAACAAAACCAUCUUUUCUGAAUAUGACAGCAUGUGUUGGUAUUCGGUGGCCAUUGUCUGAGCAUUUUGGUCCAAUUUUGGGGGGUUUUGAAGUCUGGGUUUACAUGCCCUCUUCAAGAACAGCAAUCGUAUUGUGAUUUUAUUGCGGUUGUAUUGUAGUCAUAUUGUUUUGUAUUGCUAUGGUAUUGUUGUAUUGAUUUUUUUUUUUUUGGUGUUUUAUUGAUAUGUUACUAUAAUUUAAUAGGAAUAUAUGUUGAUAUCAUUUUUCUUUAUUUGCUUGUGAUUUGAGUAGGAGUUGAGAUUAUUCUUGGCUGAAGUAUUAUUUACGAUCUCUCUCUUUCUCUCUCUCUCUGCUCUUUGUAUUUUUCUCAACAUUUAUGUGUUAAUUUAAUGUCUGGCAUUAUUUUGGAACCAUAAUCAUUGUCAAUCUCAUUGUUUCUUUGAAAGAUUGCUGUGAAAUUGUGAAAGGACCCGCCCCGAAUUUUUCAGAACCCGAGGCGAACCCUUUGGAAUUCCCGACAUCCUCCCUAUGCCAGGCCCAAAUACUAAAAACCGAGACUUCCUGCCGAAAAUUCGGCAGAGUCUCCCCUAUAAAUUGGACAUUUCCCAAAAUUUAUACCUGCAUGAAAACGCAUUUAAUAUUCCCAACUGGCAGCAUGCACAAUAUAAUUUCAUGCAAUUCACACAAAUGGCCUUCGGCCUUCCAAUAAUUCUUAACAGGCUACCAAACAAAUCAAAUAUAAUUUAUGACUAAUAUUUAGUCUGCGGCUGCACUUAAUAACCUUAGGCUGCCUACGUACCCUCCUUGAGGGAUCAAGCCACACGUAGUUCUUCCUUAUAAAACAAAUUCCACAUUUGGGCGAUACCUUAUUUCAUUUCUCUGUAUUUCAAAUAAUCUCUCCAUACGCCGGUACAACCAACGCCACGUAUGGGGCCUGUCAACACGCCGGAUAACCUACGCCACGUGCGACCAUGCCAUCAUAUCACAUAUCUCCCCAUACGUCGGUACAACCAACGCCACGUAUGGGGCCUGUCCCAACGCCGGAUAACCUACGCCACGC
Molecule: long non-coding RNA, 1339 nt
Filed under: Prunus persica (peach)
Lineage: Eukaryota; Viridiplantae; Streptophyta; Magnoliopsida; Rosales; Rosaceae
Description: long non-coding RNA (PPER_LNC000597)
Source: RNAcentral